GACAUGAAUCUGUUUUCUCUCAGGACUACAUCCAUCGUGUGGGCCGCACCACCAGAGCAGAGAGAUCUGGGAAAUCCAUCACCUUCGUCACACAGUAUGAUGUGGAGCUGUUCCAGCGAAUCGAAGCGCUGAUCGGGAAGAAACUGCCCAGCUUCCCCACACAGGAAGAGGAAGUAAUGAUGCUGCUGGAGCGAGUGAGCGAAGCGCAGAGAUUCGCUCGGAUCGAGAUGAAGGAAAGCUCAGAGAAGAGGAAGCGGUCCAAAGCAGACGAGGAAGCGGCUGAUGACGGAGAACAGUCGAGCGGCGUGAGGAAGAAGAUCAAGGGCGGCUCCUUCAGAGGAAGAGCGAAGCGAGGACGCUGAGACUCUGCUGGAGUUUGAUUUAGUACAUCUAAUAAAUAAUGCGUUU
Molecule: long non-coding RNA, 408 nt
Organism: Sinocyclocheilus grahami
Lineage: Eukaryota; Metazoa; Chordata; Actinopteri; Cypriniformes; Cyprinidae
Exons: 3
Source: RefSeq, a predicted model, not a curated record